ACCAGGUACGGCGGCCAUUUCUGUCGGUCACUAGUGUAGCGAUGUUUUUAUCUCAACACACAUUUAAUGACCAAUAAGAUGAAGAAACAUAAUCCCACCUGCUACGAGGCCUCGGAGGCGACUGAUGCGGGAACGGGAUGCGAGCGAACGUGUUUCGGACAAUCCCCUCAAACUCAAAACUCCCAACGACUUGGUUGCCAUCUUGCGCUGCCGAGCGUCGACACAAAGACCGGAGAUUAACGACCGGGUACGAGUGCGCACGAAGUUAUGGCCACACUGAAAAGAUACUGAGUAGUCUAUCGACGCCGCAUAGCACCGCAUAGUGAGCACGCUUUUUCGUGAUGUACACAAGAACGCUUGAGUGUUGGUUCUUGUAUUUAUAUUGAAGAAGAACAUUGCUAUAGCUACCAUCCAAAGAGGAAGAAAAGCUUACUAAGUAACGAAACAGGAUGAGAAAGGAACACCAGAUAUAAUACUGUACGGAUUCUAUUCUAUCGGACCCGCUCUUCGAUUAUUUUACUUUUCACGAGAAAUAACUAUUUAAAUCGACUUUCGCAUCGUCAAACACCAUCAUCGUCGUGAAAUCGAGUCUAAAAAGCAAAGAGACAGAGACGAAAAGGCAGAUGAGACAACGAGGGUGGAUCCCAUAAUUCACCCCAAUAUAUCUGGCUAUCCUUCUCUUUACCAAGGUUUAACCGUCCCGAGCUCCUCGUAUCGCUUCUCUAGUUGGGUAAAGCAAUACCAAAGUGUAAUAAGCGAAUACAUCAGUAACGAAACAUAAGAUAAACACAUGUGGACUAAAAGCUCUUACUGGGGAAAUAUCGGUGUGAAGCUUAGACACAAGAUAAGAGAGU
This is a long non-coding RNA of Cotesia glomerata, 854 nucleotides long. RefSeq lists it as uncharacterized. The record is from RefSeq and is a predicted model, not a curated record. NCBI's taxonomy places the organism in Eukaryota, Metazoa, Arthropoda, Insecta, Hymenoptera, Braconidae. The transcript is spliced from 3 exons.